RNAcentral lists this ribosomal RNA (292 nucleotides) under uncultured microorganism. Its description in RNAcentral is "partial 16S ribosomal RNA". It matches the Rfam family "Bacterial small subunit ribosomal RNA", at positions 505 to 796 of the family's 1533-position model. The record is from RNAcentral.
GUGCCAGCAGCCGCGGUAAUACGAAGGGGGCUAGCGUUGUUCGGAUUUACUGGGCGUAAAGCGCACGUAGGCGGAUUGGUCAGUUAGGGGUGAAAUCCCAGAGCUCAACUCUGGAACUGCCCUUAAUACUGCCAGUCUAGAGUCCGGAAGAGGUGAGUGGAACUCCUAGUGUAGAGGUGGAAUUCGUAGAUAUUAGGAAGAACACCAGUGGCGAAGGCGGCUCACUGGUCCGGUACUGACGCUGAGGUGUGAAAGCGUGGGGAGCAGACAGGAUUAGAUACCCUGGUAGUCC